GGGAGGUUGGCGGCGGACGUGCUGCUCGCCAAUCGGGUCAGGUCCGGAAGGAAGCAGCCCCAACGAGACCCGGCACGGGUCGCCGUCCAGCCUCCCGCU
Molecule: signal recognition particle RNA, 99 nt
Filed under: Pseudomonadota bacterium
Lineage: Bacteria; Pseudomonadati; Pseudomonadota
Description: signal recognition particle sRNA small type
Rfam family: Bacterial small signal recognition particle RNA
About the family: The signal recognition particle (SRP) is a universally conserved ribonucleoprotein involved in the co-translational targeting of proteins to membranes. Archaeal SRP consists of a 7S RNA and homologues of the eukaryotic SRP19 and SRP54 proteins. In most bacteria, the SRP consists of a 4.5S RNA and the Ffh protein (a homologue of the eukaryotic SRP54 protein).
Source: RNAcentral